RNAcentral lists this ribosomal RNA (1014 nucleotides) under Clitopilus prunulus. RNAcentral describes it as "eukaryotic LSU rRNA". It matches the Rfam family "Eukaryotic large subunit ribosomal RNA", at positions 30 to 1034 of the family's 3401-position model. The record is from RNAcentral. Lineage: Eukaryota; Fungi; Basidiomycota; Agaricomycetes; Agaricales; Entolomataceae.
GAACUUAAGCAUAUCAAUAAGCGGAGGAAAAGAAACUAACAAGGAUUCCCCUAGUAACUGCGAGUGAAGCGGGAAAAGCUCAAAUUUAAAAUCUGGUAGUCUCUGGCUGCCCGAGUUGUAAUCUAGAGAAGUGUUAUCCGCGCUGGACCGUGUAUAAGUCUCCUGGAAUGGAGCGUCAUAGAGGGUGAGAAUCCCGUCUUUGACACGGACUACCAGGGCUUUGUGAUGCGCUCUCAAAGAGUCGAGUUGUUUGGGAAUGCAGCUCUAAAUGGGUGGUAAAUUCCAUCUAAAGCUAAAUAUUGGCGAGAGACCGAUAGCGAACAAGUACCGUGAGGGAAAGAUGAAAAGAACUUUGGAAAGAGAGUUAAACAGUACGUGAAAUUGUUGAAAGGGAAACGCUUGAAGUCAGUCGCGUUGGCUAGGAAUCAGCCUUGCUUUUGCUUGGUGUACUUCCUUGUUGACGGGUCAGCAUCAAUUUUGACCGAUGGAAAAAGGCUAGUGGAAUGUGGCAUCUUCGGAUGUGUUAUAGCUGCUAGUUGUAUACAUCGGUUGGGAUUGAGGAACUCAGCACGCCGAAAGGUCGGGGUUCGCCCACGUUCGUGCUUAGGAUGCUGGCAUAAUGGCUUUAAUCGACCCGUCUUGAAACACGGACCAAGGAGUCUAACAUGCCUGCGAGUGUUUGGGUGGAAAACCCGAGCGCGUAAUGAAAGUGAAAGUUGAGAUCCCUGUCGUGGGGAGCAUCGACGCCCGGACCAGACCUUCUGUGACGGAUCCGCGGUAGAGCAUGUAUGUUGGGACCCGAAAGAUGGUGAACUAUGCCUGAAUAGGGUGAAGCCAGAGGAAACUCUGGUGGAGGCUCGUAGCGAUUCUGACGUGCAAAUCGAUCGUCAAAUUUGGGUAUAGGGGCGAAAGACUAAUCGAACCAUCUAGUAGCUGGUUCCUGCCGAAUUUCCUCAGGAUAGCAGAAACUCAUAUCAGAUUUAUGUGGUAAAGCGAAUGAUUAGAGGCCUUGGG